Molecule: ribosomal RNA, 253 nt
Filed under: uncultured bacterium
Lineage: Bacteria
Description: partial 16S ribosomal RNA
Rfam family: Bacterial small subunit ribosomal RNA
Source: RNAcentral
UACGUAGGCAGCGAGCGUUGUUCGGAGUUACUGGGCGUAAAGGGUGCGUAGGCGGUUGUUUAAGUUUGGUGUGAAAUCUCCCGGCUCAACUGGGAGGGUGCGCCGAAUACUGAAUGACUAGAGUGCGGGAGAGGAGAGUGGAAUUCCUGGUGUAGCGGUGAAAUGCGCAGAUAUCAGGAAGAACACCCGUGGCUAAGGCGGCUCUCUGGGACGGUACUGACGCUGAGACGCGAAAGCGUGGGGAGCAAACAGG